This 3589-nucleotide long non-coding RNA is filed under the name Homo sapiens (human). Its description in RNAcentral is "HSALNT0097233". The record is from RNAcentral. Lineage: Eukaryota; Metazoa; Chordata; Mammalia; Primates; Hominidae.
UUGGGAGGCUGAGGCUGAGGCUGGAGAAUCACUUGAACCAGGGCGUCGGAGAUUGCAGUGAGCCAAGAUCACACCACUGCACUCCAGCCUGGCAACAGGGUGAGACUCCAUCUCAAAAAAAAAAAAAAAAAAAAAAAAUAGGAACACUGGGUAGAAGCCCAAGAAGAAGAAAGCAAGCCAGAGUACAAAAGAGCCAGAGAAAUAGUGGGAGGAGCAGGGCUAGGAGGAAAGAGAUUGAGAGAGAGAGAGAGAAGGGCUUGAAAAAAAUUCCUACUUGUUACGCACUAAGUGUUUCUGUCUCCCCAGAAUUCAUGUGUUGAAGGCCUAAAUCCCAGUGUAGCUGAGUUUGGAGAUGGAACCUUUAAGGAAGCAAUCAAGGUGAAAUGAGGUCUUAAGGCUAUGGCCCAAAUCUGAUACGAUGGGUAUCCUUAUAAGGAGAGAGGCCAGAAAACUCGUUCUCUCUUUCUCUACAUGCACAUGCACUCAGGGAAAUCCAUGGGAAGACACAGCCAGAAGGCAGCAGUCUACAAGCCAGGAGGAGAGCCCUUACCACACAAUAACUCACCUCUCAACUUGUCAAGUCUCUGAUGUGAGAUCCAGUAUUAAACAAAGAGUCACACCGAAAGGCUUACACAGUAGAAGAGUUUAAAGUAAGCAUUAUUCAUAAUAGCCAAGUUAUGGAAAGAGCCAAGUCCAGUGACAGACGAAUGGAUAAAGAAAAUGUGGCAUAUACAUACAAAUGAAAUAUUAUUCAGCCUUGAAAAAGAAGAAAAUCCUGCCAUAUGCAACUGCUUGGAUGACUCUGGAAAUAAGCCUGUCACAGAAGAGUAUGUGCUGCAUGAUUUCACUUAUAUAAGGAUCAAGAGUUGUCAAGAAAAUAAGGACUUGCAGCUAUCUAUAUUUUUCAAUACAAAAUUUUUGUUAGCAAUAUUUAAAGAAACAAUAUUGUAAUUAAAUAUCCUUUAUGCUGGCUAUCAAUUUUUAUAUAUAUUUUACUGGCAAAAGUAUGUCUUUGUCUGGCAGAGCUAAAAAAGAAAACACAAACCUGGGAAAUUAAUAAUUUUGAAAAUACCUUAAGGUUGGAUAACAUAAUUUGAAAUCCCACCAUUUAGCCUUAAGGGCUUGGAAGAAAUCACAAAACUGAGUUUCUAUAUAUCAGAACAAUGAUCAAAUAAUCAAACAUUGCCAUAAGGGUUGCCUAUAUUAUUAUUUAUGUAGUUUGUCUACAAAUCAAUCUCCAACUUAUUAGUCAAUAAUUAUAUUCAGAUGUCUUUUUCCCCAUUUUCAAUAGCAGUAAAGAUAAUGAAAAAAUUAAUACAUAAAAAUGUUUAAGAAUCACAUAAGGAGUCAUUUGAAGACUUAUUUUUGACAAUACGUUUGCCUUCUUCAAAAAGAGAAAUGCAUAACACGAAGCAUUUAGGAAAAUAAAUAAGAACAUAGAGAACAAUGACAAGUCCAACAGUAAAAUGAAAUGUAUUUAGAAGGUUUCCCUCCACUGGAGAAAACUACUUACACAAUAAUUCAUCAAUCAUGAUGAGAAUUAGUUACAAGUUUCUCUUAGCUGAUGUCUCACCUAAAAUACAUGAAUUUCAUUUAAUCUACUUAAAUACGACAUUUUUAUUUGAAAAGCUAUACACACUCACAACAUGGAGUGAAGUUCAAGUAAGAUUAUUCCAAAUUUCUAAUAAUUCAAAAUUGUAUUGAUGUUUCAUCUAAAUAAAUCUUAGUGUGUUAUACUGGAAUUUGAGUAUAGCCAUAAUUAGUCAAAUUAUCUCUGAAUCUGGUAAUAAUUUAUUUUGUCAGGUGUAAAUUCUUUUAAGUUAUUUUUCAAAUUUAUUCAUUAUUUAGCAACCUUCAAGUCAUAUCAGAGUAUUAAACAUAUUUCUACAAAACACCUAGUAGGUAUUUUGCCCAUAACAAAAGGCAAAUUGGAAUUAAGUUCCUAGGGACAUAUGAAAACAAUUUUAUAAUACUUAUAUGCACCUUGUACAGUAUUAUAACCGCAUAUUUCUUAACAUUCUGCUUUCCAGUAAUUCACCUUAAUUUAAUAAAACUAAUACCAAACUGUGCUGGAAGGCUUUCUUAGGAAUGAUAUCACUGUAAGUUUAUUCAUUUCAUCCCUUUAACAUAAAUAUAUAUCACUUAAAUAUAAAUUGUAUUAAAUUGGGCAUUUGUUUAACAAAAAUAUAACUGAAAUAUCCUCUAGUUAGCAGAAGUAGAAUUUAUUGCAUGACAACAAUCCAGAGUGUGAUCAGGACAUUAAAAAAAUAGGCAACCAAGGCAGACCCUCACCGCUACCAGCUCACCUUCUAAAGAUGAUUUGGCACACUUCUGAGCCUGUGUCCCUAUGGAGCGGGUCUAGAAGGCUGUAAAAUAUUAUGUCUUUUACACAGCGUGCAGCUAACUGGUUCAGAAACGAAGUAAAGACAAAGUAAUAAAAGUAGAAUGCUAGUCUUUAAAAAGCAGUUCUUAGUAAUGCUUCCCUUUGGCAAUUUUUAGGUUUUUACUUUAAAUUUAACAGUUAAGUGUAUAAAGACAUAAUUUUGUGUAUAGCAUGUAGCACAUGAGAGCUUUCUUUGCAGUCGAGUCUCCUUAGAGAAUUUACAGAAUCUUCUUCAGUCAAUUGCAAUUCUUAUGUUCCACAUGGUUACAACACUUUUAUUUCAUUAACACCUAAUUUACAAGCACAAACCAUUCUAAAUGUAUCAGAACAGAUGUAGGAAAUAAUUAUAAUUUAGAUUGAAAUUUUCAUCUCCUAGUCACAUAAUUUUAACCCAUCUAUCUUAAGAAAAAAAAAUCAAGAGGAUUCUAAAAAGAUUAAAAAGCUCUCCAAUUUAAAUAAAGAGGUGCCAAAUUUAAGUUUUUAUUUUCUUUCAAUUUACCUGUUACUGCUCAGAUGUACCAUACCUGCUGUAUCGAGCUGCAUGGUUAUAAUGGUGCAUAUGCUGCAUUGAUAUGACAAUCUGCACCAAUUUGAAUACAGUUUUCCAUGGAGUCUCCCUUUAUAGCCCUUGGACAUUUCGUUUAACGCUUUGAGAGCUGUUUAAAAUUUCUAUUCUAUCUUCUAGAGAGAAAUCAAUCAUUUUACUUGGUUGACUUGACAUUUAAUUUGCUAUGUAUAAAAAUAAAUAUGAAAAGAAAAUAAUCUGCCAUUAUACAAAUACUAAAAUAACUUAAUGUUUGCUAUCAUUUACCAAAUCCAGUCCACUUGGUCAAAAUAAUAACAAAGCCUCACCUCCUACCCGUGAACAGGCUUCGUUGCUUAACUACAUGGAAUAACCACUUGCUCUGGCCUUAAAUAGACACACACCUUAUGAUUUAGAUGUGCUAAACUGAUCCUCACUCAGCAUUAACUUUUAGCUCCAUGUAGUCAGCAUGUUCCAUCAUUUGUUCCCAUUGGCCUUAUAAACAAAUCUGAAUGAUAGAAGUAUAUUCUCAGGCAUAAAAUCUAAUAAAGAUGUUUGCCUGAGACUGUCUUCUGCCUCAUUUUCAAUCCAUCUAACCACAUUUUGAUUCAUGGUAGCUUACAUUUACUCCACUUCCUACUCAUAUUCUUGUCUUACUAAGUAACUGGUAAACUAAGGCCACC